This 6420-nucleotide long non-coding RNA is filed under the name Podarcis lilfordi (Lilford's wall lizard). The record is from RNAcentral. Lineage: Eukaryota; Metazoa; Chordata; Lepidosauria; Squamata; Lacertidae.
AAACCUGAUGGAUAUUGUCAGGGGUUCAGGAGCAGAGGCACAGGAAAGGGAGGAAAUAGAGAGCGAGGGGGAGGAGUCCGAAGGAAAUGUUAGCGAUGACAGCGGUCCGAGGUCUCUGAGUCUUUCCAGCGAAUCGGAAGAUUCACAGAAAGGGGCUCCCUUGGUCAGAGCAAGGGGGUGCCGAGGGGGACACCCCAGGAAGAAGGGGCCAGAGGGGACUCAGAGAGCAGCAGUUGGAAAUCAGGACCAGCGUCCACACCAGAGUGCAGUAGGGGGGAGGGGUCCCAGGCAUCGGGAUCAGGCGGCGCACUGCCAGUGGGAGGACAUGAGUCAGGAUUGGCCACGCCUCCAUCGGGGAGCGAGGAAACGGUCGAGAGGAAGGUUGAAGGCUGGGCGCGCGCGCCAAGUUCAAAUGUACAGGAGGGCGGCGCAGUUGGCAGCCCGGAUAGGGAGCCAGGUCCCAAAGCCCGCCGAAAAGAGGGGGAGGACACAGGGGGGUCAACGUCAGCGUCAGAAGAAUCCAGGAAGGAAGCCACCCCGGGGGCUAGCAGGACCCAGAGGAGAAAGGAGAGACGUAAGAGGUGGAGUAAGGCUAGAAUCUUAAACUGGUGUACAGGGGCGGAGACUCAGAUGGAGCUUCGCCGAUCUAACCCCUAGACGUAGAGCUGGGGCGCUGCGGCUUGAAAAUGGAAACUGUACUUCAAUAAAGACUUUUGUACAUUACUGCCGGCUAGCGUUGGUCCUCUGUGAGCUGGGACCUGGAGCCAGCUCUGACAGUAAGCUCCAUCUCUAAAAGUUUUGCACCAAAAACCUCGUAACGUGAGUGGACGCAGCGAGGGAAGAAGAUUGGUGCUUCGCGAGCUCACAAAAGUCAGGCAAGAUGACUACAGAACAGCAACUAGCAGCCCUGCAAAAUGCAGUGACACAACUCAACGCGGAGGUACUCGCAUCCAGGAAAAGGGAAGAGGAAGCGGCUGCCGCCUGCAGGGAUCUCCAAGCCAGGUUGGAAGUGCUUGCUAAGCAGGGGCAACCGGGACCCAAAUCAGAGGGGAUUGGGCUGGGGAAAAGAGGAGGCAGCCUGGUAUCUCAUUUCGAUGGGAAUUUGCAGCAGUACCCUAACUUCCGAGCAGACGUGCUGUUUGCGCUGGAACUGCUGGAUAAAGACUUUAGAGAUGAGCAAGAGAAGGUGGGGUUUAUCUUGUCCCAUUUGCAUGGGGAAGCUAAAGCGUGGCUGCGCAAUCUGUGGAGAGAUAAGGAUCCGGCGCUCCAAAAUGCGGAUGCAUUCAUUAAAGCGAUGGAUUCGUGUUUUUAUCAAAUAUAGACAUUGAUAUCGCCAGAAAAGACAUACAUGGGCUCAAACAAGGCAGAGCCAGUGUAAGGCAGUACCAUUCCCGCUUUUUGCAUUAGUCCAUGCGCUGGGAUGGGAGAAGGAUUCUGCCCCAGCCAGAGACCCUUUUUGGGAAGGCUUGAAUGCAAAUGUGAAAGAUGAGAUUGCAAGGGGGGAGAGACCAAAGAGCACUCAGGAGGUUGUCCGGCGGGCGCUGCAAAUUGGGGUGCGUCUGGAAGAACGUCCAUGGAACAGAGAAGAAGGACGUUGGGGACGUACGCCAGUGAGAGCACCCCCCUCUUUCCCAAGGAUGCAGCGCGUGUGCAAUCCCCACCUCCGCAAGGAGGGGGAGAGCAACCGAUGGAGAUUGGAGGCGCCAGGGCUCAGUCAGCAACCAGAGCCCUAACACCGGGAGCAGUCAAAGCGAAGCCUCCUAGAGGGAACAGGAAGUGCUACAUCUGCGACAGUGCUCAGCACAUGGCGAAAGAGUGUCCCCAGAGGCUCCACAAGCACACUGCAGCCUCAGCAACAGUAACAGACGCAACUCAGCAGAGAGAACCACAGCAGGGAAACGACAGAGUCUGGUUGGAGGAAGAGGCACUGGGGCCCAGCCAGACAAGUCAAUGAAGCCGUCCCCAGAGAUUUUGCAGCCCACAGACCCCUCCCGCCCAAACCAGUGGUGCAGCUCACAGCAUCGCUCCAACUACCCAAUGGACUCACUAUGGAAGUGCCGAUUACCAUUGACUCUGGUAGUAACGCAGACUUCAUAGGACUGGAUUUCAUUCAAGAGCACAACAUAGCACUCCUGCCAGCCACGCUGCCUCUGAAAGUUGUCACGGUGGAUGGCAGGGAAUUGCUGGGGGCAGGUGGUGCAGCAAACGCCUCCGAUGGUGAUGCAAAUUGGGAAUCACCGAGAAGUCAUCAGCUUCAAUGUCACCCAACUGUCGGACACGCCUAUAGUAUUAGGCAUGAGUUGGCUGCACAGGCACAGCCCAGCAUUGGCGUGGUACCAGCGACAACUGACCUUCGGCUCCUCAUACUGUGCGGAACAUUGCAUUCUGCCUAGCCCGGAAGGGGAAGAGGAUGACCCGCAGCUACAAUUAGGCACGCUGCAAGCAGUGCCACUCAAGUACGCAGCGUUUUUGGAGGUUUUCUGCGAGAAGGAAGCGGACAAGCUACCUCCCCACAGGUCCUAUGACUGCAAGAUUGACCUCCUGCCAGGGGCGACGCUGCCAACCGGGAAACUGUAUUCCAUGUCUGAAGACGAGCUGCAGGAACUCAGGGAGUUCAUAGACCUCAACUUGAAGCGCGGUUUCAUCCAGGAGUCGAAGGCAGUGGGGGCAGUCCUGUAUUCUUUGUGAAGAAGAAGGACACGCCCCAAAAGGCUUGUGGUGGACUAUAGAAUUUUGAACUCGAAAACCAAGCCCACAGCCUUUCCCAUGCCCAAGAUAGAUGACCUGCUCGCAACGGUGAGGAAAGGACGCGUUUUCACAAAGUUGGAUCUGCGAGGGGCGUACAACCUGAUUCGCAUACGGGAGGGCGACGAAUGGAAGACUGCCAUGUUCACGCCCUGGGCACCUAUGAAUACAGAGUUAUGCCCUUUGGAUUACAAAAUGGCUCCCACUGUUUUCAAGCCUUCAUGCAUCACGUAUUGGCGGGUCUCCUCUACAAGAAAUGCGUCUGCUUCCUGGACGACAUCCUGAUAUUUUCAGAAUCAGAGGAGACCCACGAGGGAGACGUCAAGGAAGUUCUGCAGAGACUGCAGGAGCACAGGCUGUACGCCAAGCUGGAGAAGUGCCAGUUCGACAUGAAGGAGGUAGAUUUCCUGGGCUACAAGUUGUCGGACAAGGGGCUCGCCAUGGACAGCGCCAAGGUUCGCUCAGUGUUGGACUGGAAGAGCCCGCGCAAUCGGAAGGAGGUCCAGCGGUUUGUCGGUUUCGCCAACUUUUACCGCAAGUUCAUCAAGGGGUUCGCGAUGCAGACGGCGGCCAUUACCGACACGCUCAGCUCCAAGAAGAAGAAGUUCAUCUGGACGGAGCAAGCGGAGCAGUCCUUUCAGAAACUCAAGCGUCUCUUCUCGUCCGAAGAGCAGCUACUGCAUGUGAAUCCCAGCAGACCGAUGAGGGUUGAAACGGACGCCUCAGACAGAGCCGUGGGAGCAGUACUGUUGCAGCAAGACCCGCAUGGGGACUGGAGACCGUGUGCCUUCUACUCCAGGAAGCUCAGCAAGUCAGAGCAGAACUACACCAUCUGGGACAGGGAGUUGCUGGCCAUUCAUGCAGCAUUCAAGGCGUGGCGGCACUUCCUCAUUGGAGCCAAACACACAGUGCAGGUCCGCACGGACCAUAAAAACCUGGAGUACUGGCGCACGGCAAGGUUCCUGAACCAGAGGCACAUACGAUGGGCGGAGUUCUUUGCGGAUUUCGACUUCAGGAUAGAGUACAUCCCAGGCGACAACAACAUCAUGGCGGAUGCACUGUCCAGAAAGCCGCAAUACCUCGAGGAGGCGGCACCAGCAGCGGCCAAGCACAUUUUCGCACCGAAAGCGUGGGCGUGCGCUUCAGCAACCGUGGACCUGGAUGCUGUACGUCGAGCACUGCAGGAGGACCCCUUCGCGCAAGCAAAGAUGGCAGAGGUGCAAAGGGGCACGGCGGAGGACGACGAGUUCCAGAUACGCGACGGAUUGCUCAUCCGCAGAGGGGCCCUCUACGUACCGGGAGACGACCUCCGCGCGAAAGUACUGCAGCAGUUGCACGACGCACCCACCGCCGGGCACUUUGGCAAAGAGAAGACGGUAGAAUUAGUAGCCAGAGAUUUUUGGUGGCCCAAGAUGCGGGGGAAGUCGCGGAUUACGUCUCGAGGUGCGACACCUGCCAAAGGGCCAAGUCAGUGCACAAACCGCCGGCGGGACUGCUCGAACCGCUGCAGACACCGCUCGAACCGUGGGAGAGGGUGGCCCUGGACUUUGUCACGGAUCUACCCAGCUCGAGGGGCAAGACGGCAGUGCUAGUGGUGGUGGACAUGUUCACCAAAAUGGCCCACUUCAUUCCGUGCGCGAAGGUGGCCACGGCGGAACAGACCGCCAAACUGUUCAUAGACCACGUGUUCAGGGUUCACGGUCUGCCACGGUCUAUCCUGUCCGACCGGGGCGACAGUUCAUCUCGAACUUCUGGCAGAAGCUGAUGGGUUUCCUGAACGUCAAGAUCAACCUAGCGUCGGCGAGACACCCGCAGACGAACGGACAAGCGGAGCGAGUCAACGCCAUCAUGCAGCAGUACCUGCGAUGCUACGCAAAUCAGCAGCCGGCAACAUGGGUGGACUACCUGCCGCUCGCUGAGUUCGCCUACAACAACACGAAGCACGUGUCCACGGGGGUGACACCGUUCUUCGCCAACAACGGGAGGCAUCCCAGAACCUUCCCGGGAUUAGCGAGAGCCGGGGAGGGGGAGCCACAGGCAGCGGAAGCCUUAGCAUCAGAGUUGCAGGAGGUUCACGAACAGCUUCGGAGGCAGUUAGAACUAGCAAAGCACGCAUACAAACUGCAGGCUGACAAGCACAGAAGGGUUGGGGAAGACAUACAGGUGGGAGACUGGGUUUGGUUAGCAGCCCAGGCAGUGCCGGCCAGAUCGUUAGCGAAGAAGAAGCUAGGGCAUAAGCAGCUAGGACCCUACCAAGUCGAGGCACAGGUCAAUCCAGUGGCCUUCCGGUUGACACUGCCGGAGGGAUCCAGAAUGCACCCAGUUUUCCAUAGAUCAGUGCUCACGCCCUACAAAGCACCUCAUAGAUUUCAGGAGCCAGGAACGGCACCAGACCCGUUCAGGGAAACGCCCACAAGGGGGUCGCCAAGGCGGGAACCCGUCAACGAAGUCACAGAGAUUUUAGACUCGAGAUGGGGGGAAGAGGGAGUAGAAUAUCUUCUCGCCAGAGAAGGUACCCCGGCCAGCGCCAACAGUUGGGUGCCAGACCAUGCCUUGGACGAACCUCUUCUCAAGGACGAGUUUCAUGCCCUUUUCCCACACAGGCCCAUGCCAGCCGAGUAUUUCGACGACUGGCUUUUCACACCCACAUUUUCAGCUAGCACAUUCCAGGGGUUCACCUCGGACGAGGAACCGGCACUAGAAACACGUUCCCGUGAGUGAACGCACUCGUGGUCAGCCUCAGGCAGAUCCUCUUGUAGGGACAAUCGACAACAGGAGCAGGGGCGCUGGAAGUGGCUGGGGGGUCCUGGGCAGGCAACGUCCCCGGAGGAGACCGGGGAGAGACGGACAUGGACGUGUUGGGGGAGGACCUUGGGUUCGAGCACGGCGGCAAAGAGAUGGAAGCAGAGGAAAUUGAGGUCGGCGAGAGCACGGAGGACGAGCCGGACUUAUCCGGCUGGAUGCACGCCACGGGGACGAACUGUAUCCGGCACUCACCCCCACAACGACGGAGCACCCAGUACCCACACCUGAAGGAGGGGAGGGGGAAGGGGGGCUUCGAGGGGGAUGGAUGUCAGGGGUUCAGGAGCAGAGGCACAGGAAAGGGAGGAAAUAGAGAGCGAGGGGAGGAGUCCGAAGGAAAUGUUAGCGAUGACAGCGGUCCGAGGUCUCUGAGUCUUUCCAGCGAAUCGGAAGAUUCACAGAAAGGGGCUCCCUUGGUCAGAGCAAGGGGGGUGCCGAGGGGGACACCCCAGGACGAAGGGGCCAGAGGGGACUCAGAGAGCAGCAGUUGGAAAUCAGGACCAGCGUCCACACCAGAGUGCAGUAGGGGGGAGGGGUCCCAGGCAUCGGGAUCAGGCGGCGCACUGCCAGUGGGAGGACAUGAGUCAGGAUUGGCCACGCCUCCAUCGGGGAGCGAGGAAACGGUCGAGAGGAAGGUUGAAGGCUGGGCGCGCGCGCCAAGUUCAAAUGUACAGGAGGGCGGCGCAGUUGGCAGCCCGGAUAGGGAGCCAGGUCCCAAAGCCCGCCGAAAAGAGGGGGAGGAGUCAGGGGGGUCAACGUCAGCGUCAGAAGAAUCCAGGAAGGAAGGGACCCCGGGGGGUAGCAGGACCCAGAGGAGAAAGGAGAGACGUAAGAGGUGGAGUAAGGCUAGAAUCUUAAACUGGUGUACAGGGG